Molecule: ribosomal RNA, 447 nt
Filed under: uncultured bacterium
Lineage: Bacteria
Description: bacterial SSU rRNA
Rfam family: Bacterial small subunit ribosomal RNA
Source: RNAcentral
UCGAGAAUUUUCCGCAAUGGGGGCAACCCUGACGGAGCGACGCCGCGUGAAGGAAGAAGGCCUUCGGGUUGUAAACUUCUGUCACGACUUACGAACGCAUCAGGCAUAACAACCUGGUGUUGACGAAGGGUCGGAAGGAAGCCACAGCUAACUUCGUGCCAGCAGCUGCGGUAAGACGAAGGUGGCAAGCGUUGUUCGGAUUCACUGGGCAUAAAGGGCGCGUAGGCGGUUCCGUAAGCGGCAUGUGAAAUCCCCCGGCUCAACCGGGGAAGUGCGUGCCGGACUGCGGUGCUAGAGGGUGGUAGGGGGGACUGGAACUCUCGGUGGAGCGGUGAAAUGCGUAGAUAUCGAGAGGAACACCGGUGGCGAAGGCGAGUCCCUGGUCCACUUCUGACGCUGAGGCGCGAAAGCGUGGGUAGCAAACAGGAUUAGAUACCCCGGUAGUCC